CUAAUUAACAAGUUGUUCAUGACUGAAUUUGCAUUUCAGUAAAUAUAUUUUAAUAAUACAUACAUCUAUUAAAUAGUUUCUUGUUGUAGGUAAUGACUACGAUUAUUCAUCCUAGGUGGGAGAUGGAUGAGAAGGCUAGGAUUUUUCGUGUUUGUGUUUGGUUUAGGCCUAUUCAGCCUCCAACUAAUGCGGAGGAAACUGCUAGUAGAGUGAGGAGAAGGGUUAUUGGGGGGAGUUUUAUUAGGGUAGAGAGUAGAAGGGCUGUGAUUAAGGGAUUGUGAUGUUAUGAGGAGGAGGCUUAUUGGAGGGAGUUUUAUUAGGGUGGAGAGUAGCAGGGUGGUAGCUAGGGAGGAGCCUUAAAGUACUUUAGGAAAUCAGAAGUGGAAGGGGACUAGUCCUAAUUUGAUU
Molecule: long non-coding RNA, 408 nt
Filed under: Coturnix japonica (Japanese quail)
Lineage: Eukaryota; Metazoa; Chordata; Aves; Galliformes; Phasianidae
Description: lncRNA (ENSCJPG00005008637.1)
Source: RNAcentral